AUAAUCACAACCAUUUACCAGAUCUGCAUCUUAUCCCAUAGGGGCCUGGGCAAGCGCAUGGUGUUGGACGAAAAACUUAUUUGUGGGAUUCACGGCAAACCACUGAUGAGUUAGAAAUCAUGCUGCCUUUAUCCGCGACUCCAGGCUAAUCUAUAGAGCUUCUCCUACUAGCUGCACAUCCUAUUGCUCUUCCAACUCAUCCAGCGGUUCAAAUAACUUUCAACUGUGUAUGGACAACUACAAUCAGCAUCAAAUAAACAAGAAAUUGCAGUGGACUUAUACCAUGGACUUCAACUUCAUCACCGCAUAUGUUGAUUGGAAGCAAACGAAAAAAUGCAACAAUCGUAAGGCAAAUGACUAGAAUUACGAUAUGCUUGCUGCAUAUUUGAGGGAACAUUUUGAGAUGCAAGUCACCGGGGGCCAGUGCCAGUCAAGAUUGUAUAGGCUCAAGAAAAAGUGGAAUGUGUUUUCCAAUUUUCGUGGUUUGUCUUCUAAACCUGAGACUGGGAUUGGUUGGGACGAAGAAAGUAACUGCUUCAUGGCCAGCGACAAGCACUGGCCCCAAAUGGAAGCAGUAUGCGAGCAUAUAUUUGCAUUCCUUUCUCCAUGCUCACCCUCCAUUUGUGUAUCAUACUUGCUCAACGUGAAAUACCUACUCAAUUGCUUUUACUAAAGUUGUU
Long non-coding RNA from Coffea eugenioides, 680 nucleotides. RefSeq lists it as uncharacterized. Lineage: Eukaryota; Viridiplantae; Streptophyta; Magnoliopsida; Gentianales; Rubiaceae. The transcript has 3 exons. The record is from RefSeq and is a predicted model, not a curated record.